AUGACACCCAAAAAGUCCCGGCAUGACCGGGCAAGCAAGAAUCAAAACUGGAGAGUUUGAUCCUGGCUCAGAGCGAACGUUUGCGGCGGGCUUAACACAUGCAAGUCGAACGAGAAUCCCUUUGGGGAGGAAAGUGGCGCACGGGUGCGUAACACGUGGAUGACCUACCCCUUGGUUCGGGACAACAGCGGGAAACUGCUGCUAAUACCGGAUGUGUCGUAGCAAUACGAGAAAGGCCCGCAAGGGUCGCCAGAGGACGGGUCCGCGUCCCAUCAGCUAGUUGGUGAGGUAAUGGCUCACCAAGGCGAAGACGGGUAGCUGGUCUGAGAGGAUGAUCAGCCACACUGGAACUGAGACACGGUCCAGACUCCUAUGGGAGGCAGCAGUGGGGAAUAUUGCGCAAUGGGCGAAAGCCUGACGCAGCCACGCCGCGUGAGCGAUGAAGGUCUUCGGAUCGUAAAGCUCUGUGGGGGGAG
This 476-nucleotide ribosomal RNA is filed under the name uncultured bacterium. RNAcentral describes it as "bacterial SSU rRNA". It matches the Rfam family "Bacterial small subunit ribosomal RNA", at positions 1 to 444 of the family's 1533-position model. The record is from RNAcentral.